CCCUUAGAUGUUCUGGGCUGCACGCGCGCUACACUGAUGCGCUCAACGAGUUUUAACCUUGCCUGGAAAGGUUGGGUAAUCUUUUUAAAACGCAUCGUGAUGGGGAUAGAUUAUUGCAAUUAUUAAUCUUCAACGAGGAAUUCCUAGUAAGCGCGAGUCAUCAGCUCGUGCUGAUUACGUCCCUGCCCUUUGUACACACCGCCCGUCGCUCCUACCGAUUGGGUGUGCUGGUGAAAUGUUCGGAUCGGCCGUUUGUCGCGGUUUCCGCGUCAUGUGGCUGAGAAGUUCAUUAAACCCUCCCACCUAUAGGAAGGAGAAGUCGUAACA
RNAcentral lists this ribosomal RNA (327 nucleotides) under uncultured eukaryote. RNAcentral's name for it is "partial 18S ribosomal RNA". It matches the Rfam family "Eukaryotic small subunit ribosomal RNA", at positions 1470 to 1796 of the family's 1831-position model. The record is from RNAcentral.